This 240-nucleotide unclassified non-coding RNA is filed under the name soil metagenome. Its description in RNAcentral is "partial contains 5.8S ribosomal RNA, internal transcribed spacer 2, and large subunit ribosomal RNA". The record is from RNAcentral.
AACUGAUACUACCUGCGGGAACCUGCGGAAGGAUCAUUACAGAAUUGUUCGAAUCCAUACGGACACAUUCUUAAAAUCCGUAUCACACCGGCAGGGCUUUCGGGCCUUUGCCGUAGGGUUCCUCUUUUCUCUUUCUCUGUUAGGGAAGGAGAGGGGGGUUCCUGUCUGACCUUUGCCUAUAAUUUUAAUUUUGUCUGAACUUUUAUUUUACUAUAAAAUAAAAACAACUUUUAACAAUGG